Molecule: ribosomal RNA, 421 nt
Filed under: uncultured bacterium
Lineage: Bacteria
Description: bacterial SSU rRNA
Rfam family: Bacterial small subunit ribosomal RNA
Source: RNAcentral
GAGGAAUAUUGGGCAAUGCCCGCAAGGGUGACCCAGCAACGCCGCGUGGAGGAUGAAUGUCGUAAGAUUGUAAACUCCUGUUAGAGGGGAAGAAUAGUACCGGUUGGACCGGUAUAUGACUGUACCCUCAGAGAAAGCCCCGGCUAACUACGUGCCAGCAGCCGCGGUAAUACAGAGGGUGCAAGCGUUAAUCGGAAUUACUGGGCGUAAAGGGCGCGUAGGUGGUUAAUUAAGUCAGAUGUGAAAUCCCCGGGCUUAACCUGGGAAUUGCAUUUGAAACUGAUUGGCUAGAGUACGGGAGAGGGAAGUGGAAUUUCCGGUGUAGCGGUGAAAUGCGUAGAUAUCGGAAGGAACACCAGUGGCGAAGGCGACUUCCUGGCCCGUUACUGACACUGAGGCGCGAAAGCGUGGGGAGCGAACA